This 2891-nucleotide ribosomal RNA is filed under the name marine sediment metagenome. RNAcentral's name for it is "bacterial LSU rRNA". It matches the Rfam family "Archaeal large subunit ribosomal RNA". The record is from RNAcentral.
ACAAGAUGCUACAACCCGACUGGGGGAUGGCUCGGCUCGAGAGCCGAAGAAGGUCGUGACAAGCUGCGAUAAGUUGCGGGGAGAGGCAAGAAUCUCUUGGAUCCGCAAAUUGCUGAAUUGGACCUCCUGGCACUCUGUGCCAUUCCUCAAUGAGGAAAGGGAACCUCCUGAACUGAAGCAUCUCAGUAGGGAGAGGAAAAGAAAUCAAUCGAGAUUCCGUUAGUAGUGGCGAAUGAACACGGAAUAGGACAAACCGAAUCUCUAUGGGAAACCUUAGAGAAAUGUGGGGUAAGGAUCAUCUGUAGUCUAAGUGCAGGAAGUGGAAGUCGUCCUGGAACGGCGCACCACAGAGGGUGAAAGUCCCGUACACGUACUGCAUAUGGCCAAGUGAUGAAUCCUGAGUAGCGUGCGUUGGAUAUCGCGCGUGAAUAUGGGAGGCAGAGACUUCCAAUCCUGAAUACUACUCGAGACCGAUAGUUGACAAGUAGCGUGAGCGAAAGCUGAAAAGUAUCCUUAGCGGGAUGUGAAAAGACCCUGAAACCAGUCGGGAACAAGCUGAAUAGGCGUGAAAGCGAAGAUAUGAGCAGCGUCUAUUCUUGCGUUUCGAAAAAUGCCCCUGGGAGUUCUGAUCAUUGGCGAGGUUAAGCAGUUGAACUGCGAAGCCGAAGGGAAACCGAAAGGUCCGCAGCCGCGUAAGCGGUCAGGGACUGGGUGAGCUCGCCCGGAGUCAAUGGUGGGAGACCUGAAGCCUAUCGAUCUAUGCCUGGCCAGUCUGAAGCCCGAUGAAAAUUGGGUGGAGGGACGAACCGUUGCUGAUGUGCAAAUCGCUCGGAAGAGUUGGGUAUAGGGGUGAAAGUCCAAUCGAGAUGGGCAAUAGCAGGUUCCGCGCGAGACUACUCGUAGGUAGACCUCCGUAGAGAUAGAAUGCGAUGUAGAGCACUGAUUGGGUGUUUAGGGGGAGCAAUCCCUCGGCACGCUGUCAAACUCCAAAGUUGCAUUCGUCGUAGAAGCGGGGAGUGAGCCACGGUGGGUAAGCUACCGUGACGAAAGGUGAAGAAACCAGCUCAGCGUUAAGGUCCCAAAAUUUCAGUUAAGUGUUAAUCACAAACGGCGUCCGUGGUCGAAGACAACCAGAAGGUGGGCUUAGAGGCAGCCAUCCUUGAAAGAGUUCGUAACAGAUCACUGGUCAAGCUUGCGGGCCCGAAAAAUGGACGGGACUCAAACUGAAUACCGAUACGCUGACCCUCCGAAAGGAGAUGGGGUAGCGCGGCGACGUGGUCGGGUAGAAGCUAGGUCGUGAGAUCUAGUGGACCGUCUACGUAUGAGAAUCCAGGGAAGAGUAGCAGCAUAGUGCGGUGAGAAUCCGCACCACCGAAGGGGCCAGGGUUCCUCGGCAAUGUUCAUCAGCCGAGGGUUAGCCGGUCCUAAGGACAUCCUUAACCGAGAUGUUCGAAAGGGAAAUGCGUUAAUAUUCGUAUGCCCCUCUGCAAAUCUGGUAACGGCUCGGGCUAGUUCGUGCAUUCCUGUCAUGGGAUGUCGAAGCGUUCGAUAAUCGAUUGGAGAACCGUAAUGGUGAGAAGAUCGAGAAGGCGUGAGCAAAAGACGAAUGAGGCCAGGGUCCCGUGAAAAGCCGCAGAGGUGACCGUACCGAGAACUGACACAGGUGCCCCUGGGUGAGCAGCCUAAGGUGUGACGGGCAAAGUACCGCGAAGGAACUCGGCAAAAUAGCUCUGUAACUUCGGGAGAAGGAGUGCCAGCUUAGAGAUAAGCUGGUCGCAGUAACAAGGGGACUCCGACUGUUUAAUAAAAACAUAGCCGACUGCUAGUUCGAAAGGAUGCGUAUAGUCGGUGAAUCCUGCUCAGUGCCGGUAUCUGAAAUUGGGUUUCAACCUGACGAAGGACCGGUAAACAGCGGGGGUAACUAUGACCCUCUUAAGGUAGCGUAAUACCUUGUCGCUUAAUUGGCGACUUGCAUGAAUGGCACAACGAGAGUCCCACUGUCUCCGCGGUACGUCCGGCGAAAUUGACUAUUACUGGCGCACAGUCCAGUAACCUCAACCUGCAAGCGAAGACCCCGUAGAGCUUUACUGCAGCCUGGCGUUGUACAUUCGCACAUUUUGUGCUGAGUAGACGGGAGAUGUUGAUCCUCGGGACGUCAGUCCCGGGAGUAGUCGUCCAUAGAGACACCGUCCUUAGUGUGUGACUGUACUUACUCUUCAUGAGAACACCGCUUGGUGGGCAGUUUGGGUGGGGCGCCACGCGCCCGAAAACCUAACAGGCGUGCCCAAAGGUCAGCUUAGGUGGUUCAGUCUCCACCGUAAACCGUAAGGGGAAAAGCUGGCUUGACGUGGAUCGGACCAAUAACGAUCGACGAUGCGAAAGCAGGGCCUAACGAACCAAUGUGCCUCAUUUCUGGGGGCCAUUGAUAACAGAAAAGUUACCUCGGGGAUAAUUGAGUUGUCACCAGCAAGAGCACAUAUCGACCUGGUGGCUUGCUACUUCGAUGUCGUCUCUUCCCAACCUCCCGGUGCAGCAGCUGGGAAGGGUGGGGUUGUUCGCCCAUUAAAGGGGAUCGUGAGAUGGGUUUAGACCGUCGUGAGACAGGUUUGUUGCUUUGUGGUUGAGGCGUAUCAGGUGCCUGAUCGGAAGGGCCCUUUAGUACGAGAGGAACGAGGGCUCGGAGCCACUAGUUUACCAGUUGUCCGGCAGGGCAAUGCUGGGUAGCCACGCUCUACGCGGAUAAGAGCUGAAAGCAUCUAAGCUCGAAGUCGCCCGAAAGACGAGGCACCUCAGGGGACUCGUAGAAGACGAGUUUGAUAGACAGCGGGUGUAAGUACCGAGGUUCGCCGAGGUAUUCAGCCCAGCUGCACUAACCCCCCGAGCAUCCAAAA